RNAcentral lists this ribosomal RNA (301 nucleotides) under uncultured bacterium. RNAcentral describes it as "partial 16S ribosomal RNA". It matches the Rfam family "Bacterial small subunit ribosomal RNA", at positions 510 to 808 of the family's 1533-position model. The record is from RNAcentral.
CGUAGCCGCGGUAAUACAGAGGGUGCGAGCGUUAAUCGGAUUUACUGGGCGUAAAGCGUGCGUAGGCGGCUUUUUAAGUCGGAUGUGAAAUCCCUGAGCUUAACUUAGGAAUUGCAUUCGAUACUGGGAAGCUAGAGUAUGGGAGAGGAUGGUAGAAUUCCAGGUGUAGCGGUGAAAUGCGUAGAGAUCUGGAGGAAUACCGAUGGCGAAGGCAGCCAUCUGGCCUAAUACUGACGCUGAGGUACGAAAGCAUGGGGAGCAAACAGGAUUAGAUACCCCUGUAGUCCCUGUCUCUUAUACA